Molecule: ribosomal RNA, 378 nt
Filed under: Babesia microti
Lineage: Eukaryota; Apicomplexa; Aconoidasida; Piroplasmida; Babesiidae
Description: SSU rRNA
Rfam family: Eukaryotic small subunit ribosomal RNA
Source: RNAcentral
AAUAACAAUACAGGGCUUAAAGUCUUGUAAUUGGAAUGAUGGGAAUCUAAACCCUUCCCAGAGUAUCAAUUGGAGGGCAAGUCUGGUGCCAGCAGCCGCGGUAAUUCCAGCUCCAAUAGCGUAUAUUAAAGUUGUUGCAGUUAAGAAGCUCGUAGUUGAAUUUCUGCCUUGUCAUUAAUCUCGCUUCCGAGCGUUUUUUUAUUGACUUGGCAUCUUCUGGAUUUGGUGCCUUCGGGUACUAUUUUCCAGGAUUUACUUUGAGAAAACUAGAGUGUUUCAAACAGGCAUUUGCCUUGAAUACUACAGCAUGGAAUAAUGAAGUAGGACUUUGGUUCUAUUUUGUUGGUUAUUGAGCCAGAGUAAUGGUUAAUAGGAGCA